RNAcentral lists this ribosomal RNA (450 nucleotides) under Achromobacter insolitus. RNAcentral's name for it is "bacterial SSU rRNA". It matches the Rfam family "Bacterial small subunit ribosomal RNA", at positions 77 to 523 of the family's 1533-position model. Lineage: Bacteria; Pseudomonadati; Pseudomonadota; Betaproteobacteria; Burkholderiales; Alcaligenaceae. The record is from RNAcentral.
ACUUCGGUCUGGUGGCGAGUGGCGAACGGGUGAGUAAUGUAUCGGAACGUGCCCAGUAGCGGGGGAUAACUACGCGAAAGCGUAGCUAAUACCGCAUACGCCCUACGGGGGAAAGCAGGGGAUCGCAAGACCUUGCACUAUUGGAGCGGCCGAUAUCGGAUUAGCUAGUUGGUGGGGUAACGGCUCACCAAGGCGACGAUCCGUAGCUGGUUUGAGAGGACGACCAGCCACACUGGGACUGAGACACGGCCCAGACUCCUACGGGAGGCAGCAGUGGGGAAUUUUGGACAAUGGGGGAAACCCUGAUCCAGCCAUCCCGCGUGUGCGAUGAAGGCCUUCGGGUUGUAAAGCACUUUUGGCAGGAAAGAAACGUCGUGGGUUAAUACCCCGCGAAACUGACGGUACCUGCAGAAUAAGCACCGGCUAACUACGUGCCAGCAGCCGCGGUAA